This is a long non-coding RNA of Ictalurus punctatus (channel catfish), 1060 nucleotides long. The record is from Ensembl. Lineage: Eukaryota; Metazoa; Chordata; Actinopteri; Siluriformes; Ictaluridae.
CGGACGGGAUGGUUUAAUGCUGCCAUAUGGUCAGAAGCAGUAAAAUGAAUAUAACGUUUUGGGGUAGAAUUUUCAGUACAGAGAUCUCCUCAACGUGGCAUCUGGUGUACUAACGUCCUGUAGAGUUUCAAUCCUAUCCAGCACCUUGAUCUUGUAUUUGGAUGUCUCUGAAGCUGUUCAUUAGUUGCUGCAGCUGUGUGAAAUGAUGAGUGACGUUAGAUUUUAUAGGUAGGGAAUAUUUGAGGAGUAGCUACCCGGGCUAAAUAUUUUCUUGCUGAUCCAAAUCUUUCAGUGGGUCAGCUGGUGUGUCUUAGUUUAAUGCUGGAUUUUCACAUGUUCUCCUCAGGUCCAUGUGGCCUUCCAUAUCAGGUUCUCCAGUUUCUUCUUACCUCCUUGAAAUAACCAGGUAUGUGUAUCGGCUACUCGAUAUAUAUAUAUAUAUAAUGAAUAAAACUGUUAUAUAAUACUACUCCUUAGCUAGAUUUCCAUAGCAACAGCUGAUUCUAUUCUACAGCAGAUGUGCUAAGCUGGAGUACAUCCCCACCUCGCGAACUGUAAAUCCUUCAAAUCUGAAAAAAUAUUGACUCAAGUAAAGGUGUGGGCGAAUAUGGGAACGGUUGAAGGUGGGUGCCGAUUAUAUAAAGGUUACGUAAAGCACAGGGACGUUCAAUCUGUGCUUUCUUCCAGUUCAUCAGCCAAGAGAGUCAUCCUUUUAAUUUGCUUGCUAAUUACAUAAAAUAAUAUCACCAGGAUUUCACACCUCCAUCCUCGUGAAGCUCAGGAGCUGAGGUGAAUAAAUCCUCCUGGGAGUUUUAUCGCAAAUGCCCGUCGUCACGGCAAUCUCUGUUUACGACUGAUCGGAACAGGUGUCCGUGUCCUGCCAAGACCUGCUGAGCUGUGAGUUGUGGCUCUGUCGCUGUUGAUGUGAGCACUGCUGGUGUUGGAGCUGCAUGCUGAAAACAUCUCUGCGAGCAGAAGUCCACAGAGAGGCAGGAUGGAGAGGAAAGGAAGAGAACACUAAUGCAAUUGUGCAUUAAAUUCCCACAGUGUCCGUCGCGGC